RNAcentral lists this ribosomal RNA (469 nucleotides) under uncultured Acidimicrobiales bacterium. Its description in RNAcentral is "bacterial SSU rRNA". It matches the Rfam family "Bacterial small subunit ribosomal RNA", at positions 28 to 505 of the family's 1533-position model. The record is from RNAcentral. Lineage: Bacteria; Bacillati; Actinomycetota; Acidimicrobiia; Acidimicrobiales.
GAUGAACGUUGGCGGUGCGCUUAAUGCAUGCAAGUCGAGGGAGAACCAUUCGCUCCGUAAGGAUCGGAUGGGGAAACCGGCGAACGGGUGCGUAACACGUGAGGAACCUGCCCCGAAGAUCGGGAUAGCCCGGGGAAACCCGGAUUAAUACCGAAUACCUUCCCACCUCCACAUGGUGGAGGGAAGAAACAGUCCGCUGCUUCGGGAUGGCCUCGCGGCCUAUCAGCUUGUUGGUGAGGUAACGGCUCACCAAGGCAAAGACGGGUAGCUGGUCUGAGAGGACGAUCAGCCACACUGGGACUGAGACACGGCCCAGACUCCUACGGGAGGCAGCAGCAGGGAAUAUUGCACAAUGGGCGAAAGCCUGAUGCAGCGACACCGCGUGCGGGAUGAAGGCCUUCGGGUUGUAAACCGCUUUCAGGAGGGACGAAAAUGACGGUACCUCCAGAAGAAGGCCCGGCCAACUACG